Molecule: ribosomal RNA, 319 nt
Filed under: Meriderma aggregatum
Lineage: Eukaryota; Evosea; Eumycetozoa; Stemonitida; Stemonitidae
Description: bacterial SSU rRNA
Rfam family: Eukaryotic small subunit ribosomal RNA
Source: RNAcentral
UCUGAAUCUGCGUACGGCUCCGCACACCAGUUGUAAACCAAAGCAAGCAAGCCCGGUCUCGACGCCUUUCGGGGCUAGGGGCCGGGCUACAAGGAUAACCCUGGUAAUUCUGAGGCUAAUACUUGACACGGAACCUGUCGACUGGGCCUCGGCCCGGGAAGCAGGGGAUGUGCGACUAUCGGGCCAACAAAACCGGAAAGAGCGCACGUUCAGACCACUUAAAAAGGCCACGAGGUCCCUCGGGAUCUCGGGGCUGUGGCUCUUGCAGCGUGCUUCUGACCUAUCAACUAGACGGCAGCCUAAGGGACAUGCUUUGGUG